This 580-nucleotide long non-coding RNA is filed under the name Homo sapiens (human). RNAcentral's name for it is "non-protein coding lnc-FASN-1:1". Lineage: Eukaryota; Metazoa; Chordata; Mammalia; Primates; Hominidae. The record is from RNAcentral.
UGUCCGGCCCUCCCCAAGUUCUCGAUGUAAUGGAAGUUACUUUGGUUUUGAAAAGGAACAUGCUGUUCUUUCUGAGUGUUUGCAUUCAACACAAGAGGAAUCCAGAAGUGAUGCACAGAGAACAAACUCUGUCCCCAUCCCAUUCCCAGGGUGGCUGUUGCACCACGCCCUCCCUCCUGCCCCUGAGGCCCGGAAGCCAGGCGAGGAGCCCAGGAGGCCUUUGGAUCGCAGCCCACCUUUGGGACAGGUGCAGCCCCAUUUUACAUCUCAGGACGCCAAGAGUGCCGAGGAUGAGGCUCCUUCCAGACACUUGGGAAAGCACCAGCCCCGCUCAGCACAGGUGGGCAGCAGACUUGACGCCCUGCAAGGCCCGAAGACACAACACAGCAUCCACACGGUGACCUGUAAAUCACCUCGGCAGAAAGAAGACAGGUCCCCAAAGCCACCCCAGGCUCCCCAGCACCCUGAGGAGCAUGGUCGCCAAUCCCACAGCUCCUCCUCCUUUGCCAGUGGCACCCUCCAGGACAUGUGGAGGUUGCUAGACCUGGGAUCCAGCCCUUCUGGUGUCACCUCCCAGGGU